UGAUUUUUUUUGUUGUCGUUGUGGGGGAUUGUUUGUUUGUUUGUUUUUAUUUUGGUUUUUUUUCUGUAUUAAAAAUCUGGCUCAGUUACUCUCUAGUUCUGGUGUGUUCUCUUUUCCAGGUGGUUGGUGUUUCUGCAGUGUUUGGCACAGGACUGGGGGAGAUUUUUACCCAGCUUUCUAAAGCUGUAGAUGAAUAGGAGAGACUGAAUGCACUCCCUUUAUUCACCUUUUCAGAGAGUAUCGGCCAGAAUACGAGCGCCCGAGAAAAACACUGAAUCCACAUGUAAAUCUUUGUCUACGGGAGAAAGCUCAAAAUAAACAAAAGAGAGAGCAGCUGGAACACUUGUGGAAGGACAUGGGCAGCGUGUGUGUGCAGGGCAGCACACUGGCAGGUACCUCCCCAGGAAGAUAAAGUUUACUGCAGAAGUUUUCUGAAGAGUUUGCCUUGUGAAGUAGUACAGCGCUUCUUUGUCCUCACAGCAG
Molecule: long non-coding RNA, 483 nt
Organism: Pseudopipra pipra
Lineage: Eukaryota; Metazoa; Chordata; Aves; Passeriformes; Pipridae
Exons: 3
Source: RefSeq, a predicted model, not a curated record